GGUUGUGUAGUGUAGUGGUUAUCACUGUAGGUCCUCAGAGAAGCGAUCUCGCGUCCAUCACGUACUGACUCCCUUCGAGCCGGAUUUUGAUCGCUAGCCGUCAAAUGUCUUCCGGCAACCCCGAUUCGAGCCCGGGCACGACCU
Molecule: transfer RNA, 144 nt
Filed under: Colletotrichum falcatum
Lineage: Eukaryota; Fungi; Ascomycota; Sordariomycetes; Glomerellales; Glomerellaceae
Description: tRNA-Glu
Source: RNAcentral